This 447-nucleotide ribosomal RNA is filed under the name uncultured bacterium. RNAcentral's name for it is "bacterial SSU rRNA". It matches the Rfam family "Bacterial small subunit ribosomal RNA", at positions 355 to 825 of the family's 1533-position model. The record is from RNAcentral.
UCGGGAAUUUUGGGCAAUGGGCGAAAGCCUGACCCAGCAACGCCGCGUGAAGGAUGAAGUCUCUCGGGAUGUAAACUUCGUAAGAAUAGGAAGAAUAAAUGACGGUACUAUUUGUAAGGUCCGGCUAACUACGUGCCAGCAGCCGCGGUAAUACGUAGGGACCAAGCGUUGUUCGGAUUUACUGGGCGUAAAGGGCGCGUAGGCGGCGUGGUAAGUCACUUGUGAAAUCUCCGAGCUUAACUCGGAACGGUCAAGUGAUACUGCUGUGCUAGAGUACAGAAGGGGCAAUCGGAAUUCUUGGUGUAGCGGUGAAAUGCGUAGAUAUCAAGAGGAACACCUGAGGUGAAGACGGGUUGCUGGGCUGAUACUGACGCUGAGGCGCGAAAGCUAGGGUAGCAAACGGGAUUAGAUACCCCCGUAGUCCCUGAGCGGGCUGGCAAGGCGCAU